Molecule: long non-coding RNA, 1197 nt
Organism: Oreochromis niloticus (Nile tilapia)
Lineage: Eukaryota; Metazoa; Chordata; Actinopteri; Cichliformes; Cichlidae
Exons: 3
Source: RefSeq, a predicted model, not a curated record
UCGUGUAUAGGUUGAUGAUUCGGGGCUUUCCCUUUCCAUCGUAGUAGUCCCUCAAUAUUUCUAAUGCUCUUCUCCCAUUAUCAGGGGCAUCUCUCAUAAUCAGUGAGAGGCUUUUAUCGUCCAAAAAUUGGAUUAACUCGGCGUAAGCAUCAGCGUUCUUCUUACCGUCUGCCGCUACUUCAGCCUCACUGUUCGGUUCCUUCAGAACAGUGUCUCUUAAUCCCAACAAGUGCAAAUAUCCUAGCACCUUAGUUUCCCAAAGUUCAGAUUUGGUCUCAUCUCUGUCAAACAUGAGUCGAGGCAGCCGGCUUGCUCCUCGUUGAUCCAUGUUGCUAUUUAGCCGUUAGCCCGCUAUCCGUUGCGGCUCCAGAGCUUCAUAAGAAAAAACUCCUCUUCGAGUCGGCCCUGGGCCCAUAACCUGUUGAGUAUUGCAGCAUCGACAGCGAUCAACUCGAAGGAAAAUGACGACGGAGGCAAAAAUGUCCUUAAUAUUUUGGGAACUUUAUUCCACAUGAACACGACGCAAAACUUUCCUCAUGGGUGCCAUUUUGUUGUGGGUAUACUUCUUCUUAGGGGCGUGAUGACGCAGCAUACGUGCCCUUACAAUAAACAGUGCCUCCUUGUGGUGACAACUAAAAUACUGUCUCUGUUAAACAUAUUGUACAACAUGAGUACACACAAUGAAUAUCUUAACAGUAAUAUAUGAAAUAUUAGUGUUAGGUAAGUCCCAGAGUUCAGUUUAUUGGACAUUAGCUACAUUUAAUAAGAAGAUAUGAGACCCAAAUAUAUGCUUAUGUCAACACAUGUUCAUUUUGAUGAAGUUUACUGAACAAAUUUGAAUCAUCACAACAACCAAAAUGUUAGCAACACAUCAUAAAGUUUAUUAGUAUAACUAUGGUAACCAUGUUUAUGUUUGUAACCUGAUAACUCAAAUACAUUCUGUAGGUGUCACAUUCUGAGGACUGUAAGUUCACACACUUUCAGACAUUUGCAGAGAGAAGAAGUGUUUUGUAAAAACUUUACAAGUCAGAGGGAUUAUUUGCUCAAACAGCAACCAGUGCAAACAUAUUUUGCUGGACUCUAAGAAGGAGAAAGAAAACAAAAGAGGAUACUGUGGGUGUUGAAGAGGAGAAGGCCCCGCUGAAAAAAAUCGUGACAUCACGCCCAUUUAGAAUCUUACCACCACUUUGAUCCUUU